ACAAGCGGCGGAGCAUGCGGCUUAAUUCGAUGCAACGCGAAGAACCUUACCUAGGCUUGACAGUCAGAGAAAACUGGUAGAGAUAUCAGGUUCCGAAAGGAGCUCUGAAACAGGUGGUGCAUGGCUGUCGUCAGCUCGUGUCGUGAGAUGUUGGGUUAAGUCCCGCAACGAGCGCAACCCUCGUCGUAUGUUGCCAGCAUUUAGUUGGGGACUCAUACGAGACUGCCGGGGUCAACUCGGAGGAAGGUGGGAUGACGUCAAGUCAUCAUGCCCCUUAUGCCUAGGGCUGCACGCAUGCUACAAUGGCUGGUACAAAGGGCUGCAAUACCGUGAGGUGGAGCGAAUCCCAAAAAGCCAGUCUCAGUUCGGAUUGGGGUCUGCAACUCGACCCCAUGAAGUCGGAAUCGCUAGUAAUCGCGGAUCAGCACGCCGCGGUCGAAUACGUUCCCGGGCCUU
RNAcentral lists this ribosomal RNA (456 nucleotides) under uncultured Actinomycetales bacterium. RNAcentral describes it as "bacterial SSU rRNA". It matches the Rfam family "Bacterial small subunit ribosomal RNA", at positions 925 to 1382 of the family's 1533-position model. Lineage: Bacteria; Bacillati; Actinomycetota; Actinomycetes; Actinomycetales. The record is from RNAcentral.